Gallus gallus (chicken) is the source of this 1140-nucleotide long non-coding RNA. NCBI's taxonomy places the organism in Eukaryota, Metazoa, Chordata, Aves, Galliformes, Phasianidae. The record is from Ensembl.
GGCAGCUUCUGGGCUCUGCCGGCUUCCAAGGGCUCUGCUUGUCCAGCUCCCGUCACCUGUGAGUGACCAGCAACAAAAGCCUGACAGCACAGCAGUGACAGGGAUGCUCACUACAAGAUCAGAGAUCGAAGACCCCACUUUCCUUUCUAAAUCAACCCUUAGUGACACUUCAGGAUUACAGUAAGGAACCUGCUGCUGCUGCAUGGAUCCGUGCCUCCAAAUGGGGACAAGCGGCCACAUAGCCUUGAACCCACAGACUUCAGUGGAUGCCCGCCCCUCCUGGGGACACAUCAGACACAUCCUCCACUUCCUCUCUGCUCUCCUGGAUUUGGAGAAGACCACGUAGCUCACCGUGUGCCAGAGGCAGCCAUCUCAAGUGAAUAUGCAGCUGCUGGUGUCCCACUGCUCUCAUAAAGUGCUGGCAGCCCCCAUACAUCCACAUAAACAGAUGCACAGCACUGGAACGCGUCCUCUGCCAGCCAAAUGGAGCACCGAAAUCAGCCACGUAUGCACGGUACCUUAUGGUAUUCAGUGCUUAAAUUACUUUCCCCAUCUGCUCUUAAAACAGGAAAGCAAGAAAUCAAAGCAAGCAAAGACAUCAUAUAAAUGGAAUCAACAACUCCUGUGCAUUUGGAAAGGCUAGUAGCUGUGGUUCAAGAUGCUUGCAUUUAAUAUAAAAUACAAGACUGUUCUAAUCCAGCCUUGUCAAGUCCCAGAGUCUUACACUGCCUUCAACUUCAUCAAACCAUAGAUUCUGAAAACAGCAUUUUAAGUGGAAAGGAUCUCUGAACAACAAGAAGAGCCAAGUCAGCCUUUCAAAUGACACCAGACCACCAUGUGAUGUGAAUUAAAAAACCCACCACCCUGUAUGUAAUGACAGAAACCAUGGAAUUCAAAAGCAGCGUCUGUGUCCUGUGUCAUAAUUAGCACUUGGAUUAACAACAUGGGAAUAACAUCAGCUAUUUUUAAAACAUAUCGCUUAGCUACUUUCUGAAACACAAAAUGCAGUGUAAAACUGUGCAGAACACAAACUAGCCACAGAGCUUGUUGAAAUGCACUUGCUAAAAAUGCUACAGAGUUUAGACAGAAUCCCUUUGGAUGAGCUCAGAUGUCUUCCAAAACCUAAGGAAACAGUACAUG